RNAcentral lists this ribosomal RNA (772 nucleotides) under uncultured Neocallimastigales. RNAcentral describes it as "partial large subunit ribosomal RNA". It matches the Rfam family "Eukaryotic large subunit ribosomal RNA", at positions 24 to 635 of the family's 3401-position model. The record is from RNAcentral. Lineage: Eukaryota; Fungi; Neocallimastigomycota; Neocallimastigomycetes; Neocallimastigales.
GUAGUCUCGCACAGAUGCAUAUCAAUAAGCGGAGGAAAAGAGACUAACAAGGAUUCCCUCAGUAACGGCGAGUGAAGCGGGAAGAGCUCAAAUUUGAAAUCUUGAAAGGUCACCUUUCACGAAUUGUAGUUCAAAGAAGUGUUUUCUGUUACGAUCGUAAUAUAAGUUCUUUGGAAUAGGACAUCACAGAGGGUGAGAAUCCCGUCUAUGAUUGCGAUUUGUAGCUUUGUGAUACACUUUCAAAGAGUCGGAUUGUUUGGGAAUGCAGUCCCAAAAUGGGAGGUAAAUUUCUUCUAAGGCUAAAUAUUGGCGAGAGACCGAUAGCGAACAAGUACCGUGAGGGAAAGAUGAAAAGAACUUUGAAAAGAGAGUUAAAUAGUACGUGAAAUUGUCAAAAGGGAAGCGUUUAACACCAGUGUUGUUUUCUGAAAAUCAACCUCUGUUAGCUUUAUGCAUGUUUGUUUAGACCUAAUCAGCUAUCUUGCAUGUUCUAUUGUUUGCAGUGGUGCACUUUUCAGUUUACAGGUCAACAUCAGUUUUUUUUACCGUAAAAAAGUUAAAGAAAGGUAGCUCAUGGCUCCGGUCGUGAGUGUUAUAGUCUUUUUCCUAUGCGGUAGGAGAGACUGAGGUCUGCAGUGUAGGCUAUUUGGCUAGAUACUCAGGUGCUAUGUGAUACCAUUUCAUAAACAACUUGUUGAUUAUGUUUUGUCUAUUGCAUACUCGCUUGUACUAUCAUACCUACGCUUAGGAUGUUGAAGAUGUAGCACAUCAU